CCUCAGGAUCCCAUAAAUGGCGAGGGAAAGGUGUCCACUGGAAAGAGAGGCUUCCAAGAGCUGGCCACUGCUGGGGACUCAUACCAGGAAACCAAGACCUCCAAAGAUCCAAAUGCAGUGAUACUCAGCAAAACGUGAUGCAAGAGAAGCUCCGUUCUGAGAAGUCCCAGCGACACACUGGAGCAUCCUCUGGCUGUUGUGUCCAAUGAUCCCUGCAGUCGCUGCACUGAAGCCUGUGAUGUGUGUGUAUUACUUCUUCCAGGGACCAAUGACCCAGUGCUCCCAGAGCUGUGGAGUGUGACAAUGGUGUUUGUGUCCAAUCUAUCAAACGCCAUUAUCACACUAAAUAGCUACUGGUGGGCAAGGCAUCAGCUCAGGAAAAGUGUGUGAGCUCUGGCAAUACAUUUUCCCACCCUGCUGAGGAAUAAAUAACCUUUUUACACCCUUUUUAGAGAGGAUGACUCUGCUCUUCCUUUUAUAGCAACCCCACCAUAGUACUGGGAAACAUAUACUCUGCUACAGGCACUCCCAGAUUCCCAUGGUAAAGCACACGAGUCACCUUAAUGAACCAUCACUACAAUGUCCUGGUUAGGAAUGUGAAUUUCAGUGACUACCUCUGGAAAACAAGGCCAGCUUGGGACUUUCCUCUAGGAUUGACCAUGACAAUAGAAUUCUGAAGUCAGUAAGCUGAGGUAGUGAAACUCUGCCUCUUAUUUUGGCACCAAAUUAAAACAUAUGUUUGGAACAUUAA
Calidris pugnax (ruff) is the source of this 751-nucleotide long non-coding RNA. RefSeq lists it as uncharacterized. The transcript is spliced from 2 exons. NCBI's taxonomy places the organism in Eukaryota, Metazoa, Chordata, Aves, Charadriiformes, Scolopacidae. The record is from RefSeq and is a predicted model, not a curated record.